Musa acuminata subsp. malaccensis (wild Malaysian banana) is the source of this 1653-nucleotide non-coding RNA. The record is from RefSeq and is a predicted model, not a curated record. Lineage: Eukaryota; Viridiplantae; Streptophyta; Magnoliopsida; Zingiberales; Musaceae.
AAGAAAAUAUAAGUGAAAAUAAAUAUGAUAGAGAGCCGACAAAUUUCCCACUAAAUAUUAAAUUCUGAAGGAAAAGAAAAGAAAAAAAGGGUUGCCGAGUUCCGAAACGGUAAGCUGAUGACGGUGUUCAUAUACUAGCAUAGGUCGGUUUCGUAACCCCCGAUGUGGUGGUCUGAUAUCGGGGCCGAUCUUGGAUCUUAAUCCCCCUCGCGAACUUGGAUUUCAAGACUGCGUUAGAUUGCUACAAGUAGCGGAGGAAUCGCCAUCCAGCGGCGGAGAUCGGCGAAGAAGAGCGUUCCUGAACUCCAAUUGGAAAGAGAAGGUACAUAUUGGCUGACGCCCUUCUCUGAUCUAUUUUUCGAUCCAUCUCUUUGCUCGCAUUUCUUCAUGAUCUCCUCUUUGAGCUCUCGUGAUCCUUCGGAUAAUGUUCUAUUGCGGAUUAAUCAUGCGCCAUUCUGGUUUGCUUCGAUCUUAUGGUUAGGCUGUAUCGCAGUAAGAUCUGUUUUCCGGGAGAAAUGGUUUCUGAAGUCGAUGAUGUAUGUCCAAGCUUUUCGUUGUCCGUAAGGGGGGCUAGUAGUGGCGUCGCGACCUUUGCUUAAAACCUGAGCACGCUGCUUCUGUCGAUGUUGCUCGAUCACAUUCUAAGUUUCUGCGAUUUGGACCAAACAGGAGUCAAAUUCCAUGACUUGAGCUCCAUUCAAAGGAUGAUCACUUCUUUUUUACCAUUGGGCUAACCGUCAAGAUUUCCACCAACGCCUCGUUGCUGAAGUGAUCAGACAAAUUCUUUGCUUUCCCGUAAAUGAGUGAGCAAAUAUAACUGAUUUUGGAGCAAUCGAUGAGUGAAAGGUGUUUGAUCUCCUCCGGACAAGUGUUAAUGUGUCUUCAUCUAUUUCUCCUUGACAUAUUUGCUUCCUUUAAAAGGAAAAAUAGUAGCUUCAAAGUUCUUCCAAUUUUCACCACCUUGUGCUUGCUUGCUUAUUUGAUUCAUUGUAUUUACAUCAACAGAAGUGCUGAGAAUGACAAGUACCAGUGCCUAAUCUGCAAAAGAGAACUACAGAAGAACCAUAAUCUCAUGAACCUUUGCAUUGACCUGGCCAAUGUGAAUCAUAACUUGCUAAAGUGUAAGUGGAAUGAAGCACACAGAGUGUCUCACUAGCAGAUUAUGUUUGAUCUAACUGCACUUUGCAUACAAUGCCAAGUCAUAUGCAUCAUUUAAAGAUGUUGAAGAACAUGUAAACCCCAAGGAAAAACAGUGUAGCAAGCAAUACACUGCAGUACACCAAGCAAACAAAUCGAUUACAGUAUUACAAGCUGAGACAACCGGUGCACAUCGAUGCCAAGUCAUAUGUAUCAAGCGCAGCGGUGCUCCAGGCAAUUACUAAGCAGCUCAUGUUCUUUUCACUCAGUGGGGAGCAAUGACCAUUACAUGUUAAUUUUUUUCGCGCAACUACAGUUGCCAGUGUGCAUGAUCUUGUAUGUGCUGCUAACAUUACAUGUUAAUUUUGUUCACAAAACUAUGUGCAUGAUCUUGAAUGUGCUGCUAACAUUACAUGUUAAUUUUGUUCACAAAACUAUGUUUGCCAGUGUAGUAGGUGAUUUUGUAUGUACUGCCAAAAAUAAUCCAUCACUGAUACCCAUUUUUAGUUUGAUUUA